Molecule: ribosomal RNA, 482 nt
Filed under: uncultured bacterium
Lineage: Bacteria
Description: partial 16S ribosomal RNA
Rfam family: Bacterial small subunit ribosomal RNA
Source: RNAcentral
AUUGAACGCUGGCGGCAUGCUUUACACAUGCAAGUCGAACGGUAACAGGCCGCAAGGUGCUGACGAGUGGCGCACGGGUGAGUAAUGCAUCGGAACGUGCCCAGUCGUGGGGGAUAACUACUCGCAAGAGUAGCUAAUACCGCAUACGAUCUAUGGAUGAAAGCGGGGGACCGUAAGGCCUCGCGCGAUUGGAGCGGCCGAUGUCAGAUUAGGUAGUUGGUGGGGUAAAGGCUCACCAAGCCAACGAUCUGUAGCUGGUCUGAGAGGACGACCAGCCACACUGGGACGGAGACACGGCCCAGACUCCUACGGGAGGCAGCAGUGGGGAAUUUUGGACAAUGGGCGCAAGCCUGAUCCAGCAAUGCCGCGUGCAGGAAGAAGGCCUUCGGGUUGUAAACUGCUUUUGUACGGAACGAAACGGCUCUGGUUAAUACCCGGGGCUAAUGACGGUACCGUAAGAAUAAGCACCGGCUAACUACGUG